UGCACGUCGAAUCGGAAAGGCCCCUUCGGGGGGUACUCGAGUGGCGAACGGGUGAGUAACACGUGGGUGAUCUGCCCUGCACUCUGGGAUAAGCCUGGGAAACUGGGUCUAAUACCGGAUACACCCUUCUGGUUGCAUGGCUGGGAGGGGAAAGCUUUUGCGGUGUGGGAUGGGCCCGCGGCCUAUCAGCUUGUUGGUGUGGUGAUGGCCUACCAAGGCGACGACGGGUAGCCGGCCUGAGAGGGUGUCCGGCCACACUGGGACUGAGAUACGGCCCAGACUCCUACGGGAGGCAGCAGUGGGGAAUAUUGCACAAUGGGCGCAAGCCUGAUGCAGCGACGCCGCGUGGGGGAUGACGGCCUUCGGGUUGUAAACCCCUUUCAGUAGGGACGAAGCGUGGAGUGACGGUACCUACAGAAGAAGCACCGGCCAACUACGUGCCAGCAGCCGCGGUAAUACGUAGGGUGCGAGCGUUGUCCGGAAUUACUGGGCGUAAAGAGCUCGUAGGUGGUUUGUCGCGUUGUUCGUGAAAACUCACAGCUUAACUGUGGGCGUGCGGGCGAUACGCGCACCACUAAGAGUACUGCAGGGGAGACUGGAAUUCCCUGGUUGUAGCGGUGUAAU
This 624-nucleotide ribosomal RNA is filed under the name Mycolicibacterium phlei. RNAcentral's name for it is "bacterial SSU rRNA". It matches the Rfam family "Bacterial small subunit ribosomal RNA", at positions 56 to 687 of the family's 1533-position model. Lineage: Bacteria; Bacillati; Actinomycetota; Actinomycetes; Mycobacteriales; Mycobacteriaceae. The record is from RNAcentral.